This is a long non-coding RNA of Drosophila montana, 628 nucleotides long. RefSeq lists it as uncharacterized. Lineage: Eukaryota; Metazoa; Arthropoda; Insecta; Diptera; Drosophilidae. The record is from RefSeq and is a predicted model, not a curated record. The transcript is spliced from 2 exons.
CGCAAACGGGCUCUAGGAUGGGCAUUUGCAGGCUGCCGUUGACGCCAACGUCCUGGCCAUGGCCGCCAUAGAUGAGAAUACUCGGUGCCAUAGAACAGCCCAACGGCUCGGACAUUGUUGAACGCGUUAUAAAUGUUUUAAUAUUGCUCACGUAUUUGUGCCAAGUCGCCCUGUGGACUGGAGGGCGUGGCUGGAACACUGCUUGCCUUGCGUUUGCUUGAAGUCGAAUUGGUCAUUUUUUGCUCGCGUAAUGCGUUAAUGCUUUCAGUCAAAAUCUCGCGUUCAGUUCUACCGGUAUAACGGAACUUUGUGCCCCAGGAGAAGAAGCCACCGCCAGAGACAACAGCCGCGUGCUGGCUAUUUGGUAAACUGUGGAAAACGAAUGCAGAUAAAUAAAAGAUCGAGGAUAUAUCUAAAUAUACUUUACGUGAAGAACAGCAUUUGCUCGAUCGCACACCUCCACAGAUAACGGCAAGCGGGUCCCGAGGGGCACUUAAAGCCAAUUGUGUGCUUUUUCUGCAAAUAACAUUUUAGAGAAGAUCCUUGCUGCAAUUUAUACGCAACUACUUACGGGCUCUCGGCUGGCAUCCGUGAAGCUCAAAUGUGCAAUAAACAUUUUGCCCUCAAA